UACGUAGGGGGCAAGCGUUAUCCGGAUUUACUGGGCGUAAAGCGAGCGCAGGUGGUUUAUUAAGUCUGGUGUAAAAGGCAGUGGCUCAACCAUUGUAUGCAUUGGAAACUGGUAGACUUGAGUGCAGGAGAGGAGAGUGGAAUUCCAUGUGUAGCGGUGAAAUGCGUAGAUAUAUGGAGGAACACCGGUGGCGAAAGCGGCUCUCUGGCCUGUAACUGACACUGAGGCUCGAAAGCGUGGGGAGCAAACAGG
This 252-nucleotide ribosomal RNA is filed under the name uncultured bacterium. RNAcentral describes it as "partial 16S ribosomal RNA". It matches the Rfam family "Bacterial small subunit ribosomal RNA", at positions 524 to 776 of the family's 1533-position model. The record is from RNAcentral.